This 471-nucleotide ribosomal RNA is filed under the name uncultured bacterium. RNAcentral describes it as "bacterial SSU rRNA". It matches the Rfam family "Bacterial small subunit ribosomal RNA", at positions 329 to 793 of the family's 1533-position model. The record is from RNAcentral.
CCACGCACUCCUACGGGAGGCAGCAGUGGGGAAUAUUGCACAAUGGGCGCAAGCCUGAUGCAGCCAUGCCGCGUGUAUGAAGAAGGCCUUCGGGUUGUAAAGUACUUUCAGCAGUGAGGAAGGUGGGUAUGUUAAUAGCAUAUUCAUUUGACGUUAGCUGCAGAAGAAGCACCGGCUAACUCCGUGCCAGCAGCCGCGGUAAUACGGAGGGUGCGAGCGUUAAUCGGAAUUACUGGGCGUAAAGCGCAUGCAGGUGGUUUGUUAAGUCAGAUGUGAAAGCCCGGGGCUCAACCUCGGAAUUGCAUUUGAAACUGGCAAACUAGAGUACUGUAGAGGGGGUAGAAUUUCAGGUGUAGCGGUGAAAUGCGUAGAGAUCUGAAGGAAUACCGGUGGCGAAGGCGGCCCCCUGGACAGAUACUGACACUCAGAUGCGAAAGCGUGGGGAGCAAACAGGAUUAGAUACCCUGGUAG